Long non-coding RNA from Salvelinus sp. IW2-2015, 482 nucleotides. RefSeq lists it as uncharacterized. NCBI's taxonomy places the organism in Eukaryota, Metazoa, Chordata, Actinopteri, Salmoniformes, Salmonidae. The record is from RefSeq and is a predicted model, not a curated record.
CAGAAGCCCGCCCACGCACCUUUCAUUCACUAGAGAGAACCUUUACAAUCAGGAUGACAGAGGAGAAUAAGGAAAAGGUUCAGCUUCAAGAUGGAGUGUACAUCCAAGAAAGGGUGAUACAACAUCCCCCGCAUAUUAGGCUCAGCAGAAGUCAAGAAAGAGGUAGACUCAUGCUCCAGGAAUACAAGUUAAAAAUCCUUCAAAGUAAAAUCAAUGCCGCAAGAGAAGUGAGAAUAAAAGAACCUCAGAAGACUGCUGACAAGCCGUCAUGCUCAGAGGAAGAAGCCUAUCGAUUCUUCUGCCAUAAAUUUGAUGAAUUGGAGAAGAAUGGACCUACCACUGGCACACUUUCACAACAGGUAGCCCAGCAAUAGUGAAGAAUAUACAUUUGCUGGAAAAUGUACGAAGAUAGCUGUGAUCAUAAAUGUAUUAAAGGCCCAGUGCAGUCAAAAACGUGAUUUCCUGAGUUUUAUAUACACUGA